This 113-nucleotide ribosomal RNA is filed under the name uncultured bacterium. RNAcentral describes it as "partial 16S ribosomal RNA". It matches the Rfam family "Bacterial small subunit ribosomal RNA", at positions 1373 to 1482 of the family's 1533-position model. The record is from RNAcentral.
CCCGGGCCUUGUACACACCGCCCGUCACACCACGAAAGCGGGCAACACCCGAAGUCGGUGAGCUAACCCUUACGGGAGGCAGCCGCCGAAGGUGGGGCUCGUGAGUUGGGGUG